UGCAAGUCUGGUGCCAGCAGCCGCGGUAAUUCCAGCUCCAAUAGCGUAUAUUAAAGUUGUUGCAGUUAAAAAGCUCGUAGUUGAAACUUGGGCCUGGCUGGCGGGUCCGCCUCACCGCGUGCACUCGUCCGGCCGGGCCUUCCUUCUGAAGAACCUCAUGCCCUUCACUGGGCGUGUUGGGGAAUCAGGACUUUUACUUUGAAAAAAUUAGAGUGUUCAAAGCAGGCCUUUGCUCGAAUACGUUAGCAUGGAAUAAUAAAAUAGGGCGUGCGUUUCUAUUUUGUUGGUUUCUAAAGACGCCGCAAUGAUUAACAGGAACAGUCGGGGGCAUCAGUAUUCAGUUGUCAGAGGUGAAAUUCUUGGAUUUACUGAAGACUAACUACUGCGAAAGCAUUUGCCAAGGAUGUUUUCAUUAAUCAGUGAACGAAAGUUAGGGGAUCGAAGACGAUCAGAUACCGUCGUAGUCUUAACCGUAAACUAUGCCGACUAGGGAUCGGGCGAUGUUCUUUUUCUGACUCGCUCGGCACCUUACGAGAAAUCAAAGUUUUUGGGUUCUGGGGGGAUUAUGGUCGCAAGGCUGAAACUUAAAGGAAUUGACGGAAG
Molecule: ribosomal RNA, 603 nt
Filed under: Pleosporaceae sp. 33a12
Lineage: Eukaryota; Fungi; Ascomycota; Dothideomycetes; Pleosporales; Pleosporaceae
Description: SSU rRNA
Rfam family: Eukaryotic small subunit ribosomal RNA
Source: RNAcentral